This 405-nucleotide ribosomal RNA is filed under the name uncultured bacterium. Its description in RNAcentral is "partial 16S ribosomal RNA". It matches the Rfam family "Bacterial small subunit ribosomal RNA", at positions 30 to 526 of the family's 1533-position model. The record is from RNAcentral.
AUUGAACGCUGGCGGCAGGCUUAACACAUGCAAGUCGAACGAGUGGCGGACGGGUGAGUAAUGCCUGGGAAACUGCCUUAUGGAGGGGGAUAACUACGGGAAACGGUAGCUAAUACCGCAUACCAUCGGAUGAGCCCAAGGGGGAUUAGGUAGUUGGUGGGGUAAAGGCUCACCAAGCCGACGAUCCCUAGCUGGUCUGAGAGGAUGACCAGCCACACUGGGACUGAGACAUGGUCCAGACUCCUACGGGAGGCAGCAGUGGGGAAUAUUGCGCAAUGGGGGCAACCUGACGCAGCCAUGCCGCGUGAAUGAAGAAGGCCUUCGGGUUGUAAAGUUCUUUCGGUAGCGAGGCGUUAACUACAGAAGAAGCACCGGCUAACUCCGUGCCAGCAGCCGCGGUAAUUC